AAACUUUCUUUUGGUUCACAGCAUUUAAUGAUGGUUCUCCCAUUCCCAAUUUUUUGAAAAUACUCAGGUGACGAUUACAAGAUUCAGAGAUUCAAUCUGACCUACUUAGUUCAAAAGGAGCCUUUGUUUUCUUCAGAUGAACAUUGCAGUGGGCAUACCAUGGAGCCAGACCACCAGCAGAGCAUUAAACAAGGACAGAUGUGAAUGCCAGGAUAAAAAUGAAGACAUUCCUGAAGUCAAGACAUCUCACCCUAUCACUAGCACACUUUUGGGUAUUAUGAAGAAAAAGAUUGAAAUUCACCUGGGAGCGCAUGCUGCUAAACCAAGCUCAUGUAUGAAAUUGACAGCUCAUAAGGUAAAAGGCCUUUACUUCAAAAUGACAGCAGCGCUCUGA
This 394-nucleotide long non-coding RNA is filed under the name Coturnix japonica (Japanese quail). RNAcentral describes it as "lncRNA (ENSCJPG00005010151.1)". The record is from RNAcentral. Lineage: Eukaryota; Metazoa; Chordata; Aves; Galliformes; Phasianidae.